Molecule: ribosomal RNA, 789 nt
Filed under: Triticum aestivum (bread wheat)
Lineage: Eukaryota; Viridiplantae; Streptophyta; Magnoliopsida; Poales; Poaceae
Description: partial small subunit ribosomal RNA
Source: RNAcentral
AUGAGUGAGGGAAGAGCCCGGAUCGAUGAUAUCGUUCGCAGGAGACGAAUCAAUAAUUUGUUUCGAGAGGAAACCUGGCACCGCGGCGAGCCUGAGUUGCGGCCGGAGAAUGACCGUAUUUUUCUCCCUCGGACUGCAAGGAUGGAGGAGCUAGAGAGGCAGUUCCGCGGCUACGUGCUUUUUGCUACGGUCCAUGGCGGUCACUCCCCGUUUUCCUCCGAUGAUUUCUGCACGGAGGUUUUACUUCUAUCACGGGAACUGCUGUGUGGCUCUGCCUACAUCUCUUUCUGCCGCUGGAAUUAUGGUGCCCGGUGUUCAUAUGGCCAGCUUGAGUAUCGGACAAACCUUAGUUUUGAAGGUCUACCAGAAACUGCCUGGGAACCGGAAGCAAUGAGGUUGAUUGUUGCAGGUCUGAGAGGCGAGCUCAUUGAGAUAUUGCCGUCCGAAGAUCGGUGGGUAAUUGAAGUAGCUGCAUGGCUUGUCAAUCCUAACAAGGUACCUAAAUCAGUAGAAGUAGAGGUGCCGACACCACCUCUGCCGCCUUGGAAGCCAGAUUCUGUCGAUGAAGGAGAAUCGCCACGACGUCCAUCAUCGCCUACCAGUAGGAAAAUGAUGGUUUUCCCUGUGAUUAUUCAUGUGAAAGAGGUCUUGGACAGUGGUCCCUUGAUGUCUGAAUUGCCAUCUAAAUAUCUUCCUGACGAAGGCGUGGAUCUAUCUCGAAUCCAUGUGUUCGACACUUGGCGUGGAAAAGUUGAUGGCAGUGGCCCUGGUGAUAAUGGAAAGGCCUAG